RNAcentral lists this ribosomal RNA (447 nucleotides) under uncultured bacterium. Its description in RNAcentral is "bacterial SSU rRNA". It matches the Rfam family "Bacterial small subunit ribosomal RNA", at positions 355 to 825 of the family's 1533-position model. The record is from RNAcentral.
UGGGGAAUUUUGGGCAAUGGGCGAAAGCCUGACCCAGCAACGCCGCGUGAAGGAUGAAGUAUUUCGGUAUGUAAACUUCGAAAGAAUAGGAAGAAUAAAUGACGGUACUAUUUAUAAGGUCCGGCUAACUACGUGCCAGCAGCCGCGGUAAUACGUAGGGACCAAGCGUUGUUCGGAUUUACUGGGCGUAAAGGGCGCGUAGGCGGCAAUUCAAGUCAUCUGUGAAAUCUCCGGGCUUAACUCGGAACGGUCAGAUGAUACUGCUUUGCUAGAGUGCAGAAGGGGCAAUCGGAAUUCUUGGUGUAGCGGUGAAAUGCGUAGAUAUCAAGAGGAACACCUGAGGUGAAGACGGGUUGCUGGGCUGACACUGACGCUGAGGCGCGAAAGCGUGGGGAGCAAACAGGAUUAGAUACCCUGGUAGUCCCUGAGCGGGCUGGCAAGGCGCAU